Empidonax traillii (willow flycatcher) is the source of this 691-nucleotide long non-coding RNA. RefSeq lists it as uncharacterized. The record is from RefSeq and is a predicted model, not a curated record. Lineage: Eukaryota; Metazoa; Chordata; Aves; Passeriformes; Tyrannidae. The transcript is spliced from 3 exons.
GGCCCCGAGGGCCUGCACAGCGCCCCCGGACCGGCGGCCCUUUCCUUUACCCACCGCCUCCUCUUGCAGGCCUCGCCGCCUUUGUCUGCUUUCCAGAGCCGCCGAGCUGAUUUGGCAUCGGGGAACGCGGGCCCCCGGCGCGACCGGUGUGUCCCGGCUUCGAGGGGCACGGCAGCCGCGAGUUGGCAAGGUCACGGAGGCUUCGGGGAGCCGUGUGGCCGCUCCUGAGCACCCACAGCUGGCCCUCGGCCCCUGGCAAGAAGUUCAAGUGGGCCGAUGGGGUCCGGUGUCCAUCGGUGCGAAACAGCAGCGCACUUUGUGCGAUCCCUGCGAUCCCGAAUGUGUGAUUACCCUCUGUUAAAAGGAUAAAAAGGCAGCCUGACAGGUGUGGGAUUUUUCAGACUUGAAUACAGCAGAGAUACACCAGCAGACAAGAGCCACUACACUUGUUUGCACCGGUUCAGUCUCAGCAAAGAUAAAAGUCCCAAUGUCACAGCUCUUCCCCAGGUUGCUUGUUGGCAUGUCCAGGAGACAUGGAUGUGCUACGCACAUUGGCUGUGCCCUGUGCAUAGUCAAGUGCUCUGAAAGAAACCUUGUCCUGCCUGGCUCAGGAAAUACGGACACAGAAUCAUGAGGAGCAAGCAGGACAUCGGGGUGUGUGGAGAGAAAAGAGGGUUGACCAACAUGGCUG